UGAUCUGUUUAUGGUCGUUUAAAGGAGCCAUGCAGCACCAAAGAGGCAGGAUGAAGUCUUCUUACGCGCACUCAUCAGGAAAUACUUGGAUCGUGCCGCUGCCCCAGUAAAAAGAAAGGCUAUGUGCACAGCCGUUGUUUGCCAUAGAACACGAAAUUGCUUGGACGAAUGCCAGAAAGGUCCAAUGUGGUCGUGUUUCCGGGGAGGAUGCGUGGAUGUUACUCCUGAGUGAGGAGUAAUGGGCUCCUGUCCCAACUGAAGUGCUCAUAUCAAGUUCAGCUGGGCGUCCCCGUGAUAUGUGAUAAACCAAUUCAUAACUUAUUGACCAAUAAUACCUAGCACUGUUGUGAUAAUUUUGUAAAAUAAAGAAUUUGUUUUCUAAUCAAAGUUGAGGAACGAAG
Exaiptasia diaphana is the source of this 401-nucleotide long non-coding RNA. RefSeq lists it as uncharacterized. The transcript has 2 exons. NCBI's taxonomy places the organism in Eukaryota, Metazoa, Cnidaria, Anthozoa, Actiniaria, Aiptasiidae. The record is from RefSeq and is a predicted model, not a curated record.